Long non-coding RNA from Tigriopus californicus, 1607 nucleotides. RefSeq lists it as uncharacterized. The record is from RefSeq and is a predicted model, not a curated record. Lineage: Eukaryota; Metazoa; Arthropoda; Copepoda; Harpacticoida; Harpacticidae. The transcript has 4 exons.
CGGAGAACGAUCGAAACCCGCCAAACUCAGAAAACCUGAAAGAAAAUACCUCCGUAAUCUCAAGCCAUCCUGGUCCUCUCUUCCUCGAUCGGCCUAGCUUGAUGAAAAAAAUCAAGCGGAUGAAGAACUGACCAAGGCAAUUGUGAGCGAAGCAGCGGCCUCUUGAACAAAGAAAAGAAAGGAAAUGGAUGCAUCACCAGGCUCCACCUAGGGCUGUCUGUCUGACCCCUUACAAGAAAUUAACCUCAUUUAAGGGCGGAAAAAGAGUCAAAGCUCCAACAAACACUUGCACCAGUACUGAAGGCGACCCCCAGUUCAAUUUGAGGCUUCUGGUAAUUGGAUUACGAGUUUCUGUUCAAUCACCCACUUCAGCUCACCGAGUUGCAGCGAAGUUCAAGUCAUUCAAGUAGAUCUCUGGCUCGAUCUCUUUCACCGAGUUCUCCCGAAUUUGGCCAUUUUCCCUGCACUAAUGGCAUGGCAUCUCUUUGGGAGGGAUGGAGAUGGAUUUGUGAGUAAUUGGAAAGUAAUUUCCAGCCUUGGUCCAUGACUCUAGCCUUUUCACUUUUAGCAGAGGUAGAUUGAAAAUGCACGAAUCAGAGCGACCCCGGAGAUCUCCAGGAUCUUGAUUUGUCUUCUUUUAACUUCGGAUUUCUCUCUCUAUCUCUUUGCAUGGGAUAAAAAUCACACUUUCUUGGAUUCAGAGCUUAUCAGCCAUCGUGAAAGAAGCCAAUCGCUUUUUAAUAGGUCACGUUGAUGGAGCAGCAUUGAACCGAUGCUGGCUAAAUGACCUUAUUUCUCUUCCAUUCAUACAUGCAUAAUCCUUCUCGGAUGGAUGGGGUUGACAAAGCCUUUUUCCCCGAACAAAGGAACAAGGACAAACCAGGAUAAAAAGAGCCAAAGCCUUCAUAUAAAUCAUGAACAGCUCCCCGGUGGGUCCUCUUCGUCCAUUGAAGCCUUUUCAAACAAUGGAAUUUCCCCAUGCAUGCUUGGUCUGGUACAAAAGUGGGAAACGUAGAACAAAAGAAGAUCUCCUGUGGUAGAGUUGGCAUUGUGAAUGGAAUAAAAUCUUGCCGUCAUCAUGACAAACGGUUUUGGAUGUGCUUGAAUGUCAAUUGAGUCGUUAAAGAAGCCAAUCAAGCAAUUUACGGGCAAAUCUUCACGACCUCCACAACAUUGGUGCCCAUUGUCAUGGAAGUAGACUACAUGUAAUUCAUGAUUUGUAUGGUUCUUCUUAUCGCCAUUGGAUCGGUUCAUUACGAGUGUAGACCUUGUGCGUAUGUACGUAUAUACAAUAGAGAUUUGUGCCAGUUGGUUAAAAAUUCGUAUUUGUGCACAGGAGCCACGCCAGAUUGAAAAAUCGUGGAAAUGAAUGUCUGACUUUUUUCAUUCUUCUGCGUGAUCAGAUUUAAUGACUUUCUUGUGAUUUUACACGCAAAUUUCUGUCUUCCCCUUGCCUGGAACAUUGGAAGCUCGAGCGAGGUGAGAAAGAAAUAGGGAGUCCUUGAUUGUCAUUUGUUUGAUCAUUAAGCAAUUGAACAAUCCUUGCUUUGUAAGAGUCCAUUUGAAAGGACAUAAACCACUUGUCUAAUUACCUUCGUUUCAUAACA